RNAcentral lists this ribosomal RNA (442 nucleotides) under uncultured bacterium. RNAcentral's name for it is "partial 16S ribosomal RNA". It matches the Rfam family "Bacterial small subunit ribosomal RNA", at positions 338 to 795 of the family's 1533-position model. The record is from RNAcentral.
CCUACGGGAGGCAGCAGUGGGGAAUAUUGGGCAAUGGGCGCAAGCCUGACCCAGCAACGCCGCGUGAAGGAAGAAGGCUUUCGGGUUGUAAACUUCUUUUCUGAGGGACGAAGAAAGUGACGGUACCUCAGGAAUAAGCCACGGCUAACUACGUGCCAGCAGCCGCGGUAAUACGUAGGUGGCAAGCGUUAUCCGGAUUUAUUGGGUUUAAAGGGUGCGCAGGCGGAUUUUUAAGUCAGCGGUCAAAUCGUGGGGCUCAACCCCAUCCAGCCGUUGAAACUGGGGAUCUAGAGUGUGCGAGAGGUAUGCGGAAUGCGUGGUGUAGCGGUGAAAUGCAUAGAUAUCACGCAGAACCCCGAUUGCGAAGGCAGCAUACCGGUGCACAACUGACGCUCAGGCACGAAAGCGUGGGUAUCGAACAGGAUUAGAUACCCGAGUAGUC